This 468-nucleotide ribosomal RNA is filed under the name uncultured bacterium. RNAcentral's name for it is "partial 16S ribosomal RNA". It matches the Rfam family "Bacterial small subunit ribosomal RNA", at positions 28 to 507 of the family's 1533-position model. The record is from RNAcentral.
GACGAACGCUGGCGGCGUGCUUAACACAUGCAAGUCGAACGGACAGGCCCUGCUUUUGUGGGGUGCUCGAGUGGCGAACGGGUGAGUAACACGUGAGUAACCUGCCCUUGACUUUGGGAUAACUUCAGGAAACUGGGGCUAAUACCGGAUAGGAGCUCCUGCUGCAUGGUGGGGGUUGGAAAGUUUCGGCGGUUGGGGAUGGACUCGCGGCUUAUCAGCUUGUUGGUGGGGUAGUGGCUUACCAAGGCUUUGACGGGUAGCCGGCCUGAGAGGGUGACCGGCCACAUUGGGACUGAGAUACGGACCAGACUGCUACGGGAGGCAGCAGUGGGGAAUAUUGCACAAUGGGCGGAAGCCUGAUGCAGCAACGCCGCGUGCGGGAUGACGGCCUUCGGGUUGUAAACCGCUUUCGCCUGUGACGAAGCGUGAGUGACGGUAAUGGGUAAAGAAGCACCGGCUAACUACGUG